Long non-coding RNA from Rosa rugosa (rugosa rose), 1831 nucleotides. RefSeq lists it as uncharacterized. The transcript is spliced from 2 exons. NCBI's taxonomy places the organism in Eukaryota, Viridiplantae, Streptophyta, Magnoliopsida, Rosales, Rosaceae. The record is from RefSeq and is a predicted model, not a curated record.
UUUUCAAUUUCAGUUAGUCAUGUCCAAUUUCUCAUAUUCCUUGGACUUUAUCUCAGAUCUUGGGGCCCACUUAAGGGCUAAAAGGGUAAAUUCAAGAUUAAAAAAAUAAAAACAACCAAAUUCGACCUCUCUCUCUCUCGGAGAUGAUCACUCCCCUAACCAUUUCCUCCUCUAUUCUCUCUCUCUCACUGCCUCACCACCACCAUGGCCCCCGACCAAGAUGACGCCGUUCUCCCCAAAGGCGACCUCUCGUCCUCCCCAAGACGACGAGGAAGAAGAUGAAGUCGUUGACAAGGAUGACGUCGACGACUCCCCUUCUCUUUCCUCCACCUCUGAUUCCCUCCCCAUCGCCAUAGCCACAGCUCUUCCCAUUGUCACUGUCGCGCUCCCUGCUCCUCUUACCACCACCGCGCCUGCGACAGCCACGAUUUAGUACGACCCGGUCUUGCUGCAAGUGUUUCUAGACUACAUGAUGCAGAGGGCCCACCACUUCUCCGCCGUUGCCUUCAACGCCACCAAAACUCGACCAACAUUUUCAGUUGAUCCGCCAUUCAAUUUCUCACCCAUGGGAGAGCAAACCCAGGUUCGAAGCCCCAGCCCAAACUCAAGACUCCGCCUCCGAUCCAAUCAACAUCGAUUUGGACUACGCUCUACUCGCAUCCACCAAAGUGACUUACACGGAUCCGAUUUCGGGUCUGACCUACCGCAACCUCUUCGAUCAGAUGGUGGACCACCGCCAAGACUGAAGAGAGAAGCCAAAGCCAUCAUCUUUAGCUUUAAUUGGAUGGGUUGUUCCUUUUUUCAGAGGGAGGUUUCGCUCUGCUUUGGUUUGUAGUGAUUGAAUUGUGAUCUGGUGGUGCAGUUUGAGGAGUUUCAAGCAGGUUUUUGUGGAUUUUUGGAGGUGGGUUGGGUUUGGAAAUUGAUACCUCCAUUCAGGUGGUGGAUGUUGAGGAUUUAGCUCCAGAUCGAGUACUUUAUUUUUGAUGGAGAGGGACGGAUCCGAACCGAAGACGAGAACGCAAUCGCUGGUGGGAUGAACGGAGGAGCCAUGACGGUUGAAGGUGACGAAGCAGCUGACGUCAUAGUUUGAAUCAGGAGAGAAUCUUGCGUAGGGCACCCGCACGGACACGUGGUGGGGCGGGCCAAUCACCCCCCAGCAGGGGGGUGUUUUGGGUAUUUCAAUUCAGGGAGCAGGGGCAAUUUUGGAAAAGAUGAAAAAUUUCCUCUCUUCUGAUUGGUGGGCCGUAAAGACACGUGGUGGGGAAACCCCCACCUAAGAAUUUCUCUUGAAUCAGAGGUGGGUCUUUGGGGCUGCCCAUCGGAGAUGAGAGAGAGAAGAAGAAGAAGAGGAUCUAAGGAAGAAGAAGAAAUGAGUUUUUUUUUCCUUCAAAUUUUUUUUCUAUCUUGAAAUGACUAUUUUAGCCCUUGAAGUGGGACCGAUAGUCAGACUUAACGUCCAAUUUGGACGGAAUCUGAGAAAUUGGACAGGGCUGACUGAAAUUGGAAAGCUUGGGGGGUAAAAAUUCAAAAUUGAGAAUAGAGGGGGUGAAAUGAUGACACCCCCAAACCUCAGGGGGAUAAACUGAAAUUAAUUCUUCCUCAAAUAUAGGAUUGAGUUCGUAUACAUGAUUUACAAUUUUGUUUUUUAAGGAAAAAAAAAAAGCAAAUUGACAUGCGUAGAGCACAUGUUAAGAGGCUAGUAAUCUACUUAAUGUACAAAGUUCAUAGGCCAAGGUAGAAUAAAAAAAAAAAAAAAAUGAGAACUCAAAUCCUAUGUGUACCCCUAUGAUGUUUGACUAUAAAAAUAAAAAAACUCUAGAUUUUUAACUUC